RNAcentral lists this transfer RNA (73 nucleotides) under Plasmodium falciparum RAJ116. RNAcentral describes it as "tRNA-Arg". The record is from RNAcentral. Lineage: Eukaryota; Apicomplexa; Aconoidasida; Haemosporida; Plasmodiidae. RNAcentral also lists the same sequence under 1 other name.
UAAAUUAUAUUCAUUAUUAUUAGAAUAAUAGGAUUCGAACCUAUAUUAAUGAAAUCAAAAUUCAUUACCUUAA